CAUGAUAUGCACCAUUACGAUCUCCCUCAUUCGUUACUCCUCUAAGAAUGAGGACUCCUUAUCACACAACGAUUGGCAUAAGGAAUCAUGGGAGCAUAAUUGACAAGCAUGACUGGUGGCAUUAGGCCUUUGCUUGAUGAUCAAGCAGGACAGGAUGUAAAUCCAUGCUCGUAAGGGAGAAAUCAUGUUGUUCUUGCUUAAUCCAAGUGUAAUA
Molecule: long non-coding RNA, 214 nt
Filed under: Ricinus communis (castor bean)
Lineage: Eukaryota; Viridiplantae; Streptophyta; Magnoliopsida; Malpighiales; Euphorbiaceae
Description: long non-coding RNA (RCOM_LNC001697)
Source: RNAcentral